GUUAAAUAGCAUGAUUAGCUAUGUUCUCUAGUACAUUCGUAUUUCUUAAUUUAUUCAGAUAAAUGUUUAACGUCCCUAAUUCCUGUCACAGCCCAUGCUGUUUUAAAAAGGAAGCAAAGGAAGCAAAACGUGGAGUUUGGAUGGCUGCAUCCAGCUAGCCAAGCCUCUCUGCUGUACCAGUUAGAGUGAAACUUCUCAUAUAGUUUUACCCUUUUUCGCUAGCUUGUUGUUUGAUUAUGAUGUCAGGUUGAUCUGGACCAAGUUCUUCUUUCAAACGGAUUCUGAAGAAGAGAUUUUGCUGAAUUAAGAGAAAGCUGAAGUUGCUACCUGGUGUCCAUCACUGUCAGUAACAAUCGCUGUCCUCAGCUACUGAUUCUGCUCUGGGCCAUUAAAUCGUCGCCCUUUAGGCGUCAAAUUAGCCGACGCUGAUUGGCUGAAUUUCUGUUGCUAUGUGUGUCUGAGAGCUUUUAUUGGCUGUACUGUGUCACUGGGCAAUGUUUAGUUCGCCCCAAGUUGAGCUGCUGCAGGUUUUUUUUUUUUUUACCACAAAUACUGAUUCAUAUUUAAAUUUUUUUUUCAACAAUAUGUUCUCAUACUUAUACUUGAAAUAGUAAUAUUAAUUACUUUUAACAAAUAUAUAUAUAUAUAUUUUUUUUUUUAAAGUUUCAACGGUGGGCAGGGGGACUCAUCUGGUGUGAUAUUAAUUUGAUCCCUUGUCUAAGUUUGUGUUUUAACUUUCAGUCAGUCCCUUAGAGAAUUACAUUUUGUGCAUCCUCCUUUAUGCAGAGUAGUUGUCUUGUUUCAUGAAUCCUCUCAACACCACACCCUAACCAAGACAAGAAAUGACUUCUGUGUUUGCAUUUGCGUUUAAAAUAGUUUCAGACAUUUUGCUUAUAAUCUGUGUUGUAUUAUGAGUAAACAGGACCUUUUUGCUCCACUGUCCUUUGACUGCAAUGUUUUUUUUCUCAUUUUAGUGGCCUGUAGAAAUGUUGGUUCUGCUGUGAAAGAAAGCAGCCGAUAUACAGGAUGAAGAAGAAAGUGAAGUUGUUUGGCUAAACUUGCUGGUUUACAGGCAGUCUUACUUUUCAUUUAUUUCUGCACUUCCUCUUGAUUCAUGAAAUGGUUUUGGGUUGUUCACUGACAGUCUGGUCUGUUGUUCAUUUUAGAGUAGUAGCAAAGUUUGUCUCAUUCUUGAUAAACAUCUCCAUCUGGUGGAGGAUGUAG
This 1224-nucleotide long non-coding RNA is filed under the name Mastacembelus armatus (zig-zag eel). Its description in RNAcentral is "lncRNA (ENSMAMG00000027846.1)". The record is from RNAcentral. Lineage: Eukaryota; Metazoa; Chordata; Actinopteri; Synbranchiformes; Mastacembelidae.